Mirounga angustirostris (Northern elephant seal) is the source of this 3971-nucleotide long non-coding RNA. RefSeq lists it as uncharacterized. The record is from RefSeq and is a predicted model, not a curated record. NCBI's taxonomy places the organism in Eukaryota, Metazoa, Chordata, Mammalia, Carnivora, Phocidae. The transcript has 3 exons.
AAGACAAAAACACAAGAGGUCAUGCAUAGUGUUGGGCAAAUUUCAAAUGGAUUGAGGAUCAAAACUUCAAAUGGAAAAACAACAACAACAAAAACUUCAAAAGGCAGCAACUAUAAACAUUCAGCUUGGUAAAUGUGCAUCAUACCCAGAGAAUUUACCCUUGUAAUUUGUCCCCUCUGGGCAAACCUUUGAAAACUAAGAGGCUGAACCUCAGUAAUUGUUGUAUUUUCGCAGGAAAUUGCUUUGACCUUUACUUUCCCCUCCAAGGCCUCCUUGGUCCUUCAUUUCUUCUGUCCACCUUUUUUUCCCCUCAACUUUUUAGUACAUAUAAUCCCCACCUUACGAUUUUUCAAUUUAGGAUUUUAGGAUUUUUCAACUUUACAGUGGUGCACAAGGGAUUCACAUUCAGUAGAAACCCUAUUUCAAUUUUGAAUGUUAAUCUAUGCUCCCCCACUCCCCACCCCCACAGCUGCACGUGGUGCUGGGCAGCCCCAGUGAGCCACAGCUCCCAAUCAGCCCCCUGAUCAGGGGGGUUAACAACCGAUAUACUUAUAACCAUUCUGUACCCAUGCAGUCAUUCUGUGUUUACUUUCAGUACACAAUUCAAUAAAUUACAUGAGAUAGUCAACACCUGAUUAUAAAAUAGGGUUUGUGUUAGAUGAUUUGGCCCAACUGUAGGCUAAUGUUACGUGUUCUGAGCGUGUUUAAGGUAGGCUAGGCCAAGCUAUGAUGUUUGGUAGGUUAAGUAGGUGUGUUAAAUACAUUUUCAACUUAACAAUAUUUUCAGGACAUAGCCCUAUCAUCAUAAGUCAAGGAAGAUCUGUAUAGGAAAGCUGAGUAAGUUAUGGCUGUUGAUCGAGAAGGAGUGCCAACAUUACCUUGGUGGUAGAAUUUUUGGUCAAAACUUUCCUCACUUCUUGUUAAUUUUUACAAAUGACUUAAGGUGGUCAUUGUCCACUUCAUUUUGUUUUGUUUUGUUUAAAAUUUUAUUUACGUGGGGGAGCCUGGGUGGCUCAGUCGAUUAGUCUGCCUUCAGCUUAGGUCAUGAUCCCAGCAUCCUGAGAUGGAGCCCUAAGUCGGGCUCCCCGCUCAACGGGGAGUAUGGUUCUCCCUCUGCACCUCCCUCUACUCGUGCACUUGCACUCUCUCUCAAAUAAAUGCAAUCUUUAGAACAAAUUUUUUUUUUUACCUGAAUAAGCUAAGUAAAUUCACCAUUUCCAAUAUCUAAUUGUGAGGCAGUUGGUGGUAGAUAUCAGAGCUCUGCCUCUAAGGGGGCCACCACUAAGCACCUGUGUCCUUGCCCUAUCCUCCCCUCACCUAGGUCAGCUACACACUCCCUGACCCCAGACCCUAAAUACUGGGGACUGAGCAUGCUGCCUGUCAACAAAGUGCUCAUUUCCCUCUAUGACUGGCUUCUACAUCCAUCUCAACAAUGAAGAGUGAAAACAAAUACCUUCAAACAAGUUCGUGAGCCAGCUGGAAAGAAAGAAGGAUCCCCAAUAUUCAGGACAUCAUUUGAGGCAGGUUUCAUCACCGUCCUCUCCAAGAAUCUGGGGCUCCUGUCCUCUCUCCUCCUCUUUACCUUCUUCAGGCAUGACCCACCCUGGCACAGAGCUUCCCCAGUCAUUACAGUGACUGUCCUAGGAUUCAUGUGGAGGACAACUAUGUGUGUUUACAGCAGGGAAGAAGCAGGGGAUCCAAAAAAGAUGGAAGAUUUACCUGAAAGGGAACUGCAUAGAGAAGAGAAAAUGGAAAGGAUUCUCUGUUUUGGUGUUAUAAGGACUCAGUGGGGCUGGCUCAUUGCAGCUCAUGAGAAACAACUGUGUUCAUCCCUUCCCGGCUCUCUGUUCAGUGAAUCAAAUUGGUUACUUGAAAUGGACUGUUGUGGGAGUUGUUGCCCCACAGAAAUUGGCAAAUGCUAACAAUCAAGUCUUUUGUGGGGUUUGUUGUGUUUUCUUUUUCCUGAGAGUCAGUUUGCUAGCGCACCAUUGCCCCCACUCCACUCAGCCACUGCUCGGUGUUCUGAAGACAAAGAUUUGUUCUGAAUAGAAAGUGAAGGGAAUGGAAGCAUUUGAAAAACUACUUCAGGGGCGCCUGGGUGGCUCAGUCGUUAAGCGUCUGCCUUCGGCUCAGGUCAUGAUCUCAGGGUCCUGGGAUCGAGCCCCGCAUCGGGCUCCCUGCUCUACGGGAAGCCUGCUUCUCCCUCUCUCACUCCCCCUGCUUGUGUUCCCUCUCUCGCUGUGCCUCUCUCUGUCAAAUAAAUAAAUAAAAUCUUUAAAAAAAAAAAAAAAAAAAACUACUUCAAUCCUGCUAAGCAAUUGCUUAUACAUUGUCUAACCUUUUCUCUUUUUUCAAGAUUUAUUUAUUUUAGGGAGGGAGAGAGAGCACUGGAGCAAAAGGAGGGGCAGAGGGAGAGGGAGAGAAUCUUAAGCAGACUCCCCACUGAGAGAGGAGCCUGACACAGGGCUGGACCCUGACAUCAUGACCUGAGCCUAAAUCAACAGUCAGAUGCCUAACCGAUUGAGUCACCCAGGCACCCACUAACCUUAUUUUUAAAGUACUUCAAUUUAAUGUGUGGAAUAGAUUCUCAGAACAAACCUUUUGAUGAAAACCAAAGUUGGAUAAGAUUUUUUACUAUUUUUUUUAAAUGAAUCAUUGAGCUGGCAAGAAAUGAAGGAAAAAACAAAGUUAAGGUAGGACCCCUGCUAAGUGAGCAAGCUCCUAGAAAAUCUGUCAAACUGCAGUGUCCUUGAACUUCCACAUUGACAGGCGUGCUGUGAUGGAGACACAGAAGAUAAACCCUCAAGCCUACCCAAGAUCAUAAGCAAAGUAAGAACCUAUCCCAGUUUAAAUUGGCACAAUCACUAUGGAAAACAGUAAGGAGGUUCCUCAAAACAUUAAAAAUAGAACAACCAUAUGAUCGAGCAAUCUCACUUCUAGAGAUCCAAAGGAAAUGAAAUCACUAUCUCAAAAAGAUACGUGCACCCCCAAUAUUCAUUGCAGCAUAAUUCACAAUACCUAAGGCCUGUUUCCCGAGGCAUAUAAACAACCUAAGUGUCCACUGAAAGAUAAAUGAAUAAAGAUGUGGCAUAUAUGCAAUGGAAUAUUACUCAGCCAUAAAAAGAAGGAAAUCCUGCCAUUUGUGACAACAUGGAUGAAACUUGAGGGCACUAUGCUAAGUGACGUAAGUCAGACAGAGAAAGACUGUAUUAUCUCACAUAUAUGUAGGAUCUAAAAAAGCCAAAUUCACAAAAACAGAGAGUAGAUUUGUGGUUGCCAGGGGCUUUUUGUGAGGGAAAUGGAGGGCUGUUGGUCAAAGGAUACAGACUUUCAGUUACAAGAUAAAUAAGUUCUGGGGAUCUAAUGCAGAGCAUGGUGUCUAUAGUUAACAACACUGUAUUUUAUACCUGAAAAUUGUUAAAAGAGUAAAUCUUAAAUGUUCUCACCACACACACACAGAAGGGUAACUAUGUGAGGUGAUGGAUGUGUUAACUAACCUAAUGGUGAUAAUCAUGGUACAAUAUAUGCACAUAUCAAAUAAUCAUGCUAUACACCUUUUAAAAAAAAAUAUGGAAUGCUUCACAAACCUGCAUGUCACCUUUGCACACUAUCUUUCCAAUUUUAGUAUGUGUGCUGCCAGAGCAAGCACCCACUGUACAUCUUAAACUUACACAAUGUUACAUGUCAAUUAUACCUCAAUAGAGUUGGGAGAAAAUAAUUUCAUUUAAAAUAAAACACACAUAUUUUUUAAAAAAGAACCUCUUUCAUAAAACUGGGAUUCCAAAAGAACCAAAGUCAAGAUGAAUGUGAAAUUGACUUGCUGUACAGAAGAGGACCCCCGAAAAAUCUGCCUGUAUUGAUCCUGGUGCUGGAUGGAGAAAAACAAAAAGGAGAUAUGACUCUUCCUUGAGAGUUCGUAACUAUAGUGUGGCCUGCGUGGAAGAUUGUGAUCUAAAUUCAAGAUACCAUGG